CAAUCACUUGUCCUUUAAAUGAGGACCUGUAUGAAUGGCAUAACGAGGGCUCAACUGUCUCCCCCCCCCAGUCAGUGAAAUUGAUCUCCCCGUGCAGAAGCGGGGAUACGCCCAUAAGACGAGAAGACCCUAUGGAGCUUUAGUCAUUAAGCAGCCUGCAACCAAACAAACCCCCCCAAGGGCUACGAACAACGCAUUACUUCCUGCUGAAAUGUCUUCGGUUGGGGCGACCGUGGGAUAAAAAAAACCUCCCAUGAGGACCGGGAAAACCUUCCCAGAACCAAGGGCUACCGCCCUAAGCAACAGAAACUCUGACCUAAAUGAUCCAGCCUGACAGCUGAUCAACGGACCGAGUUACCCUAGGGAUAACAGCGCAAUCCCCUCCUAGAGCCCC
This 394-nucleotide ribosomal RNA is filed under the name Saurida elongata (slender lizardfish). RNAcentral describes it as "partial 16S ribosomal RNA". It matches the Rfam family "Bacterial large subunit ribosomal RNA", at positions 1962 to 2502 of the family's 2925-position model. Lineage: Eukaryota; Metazoa; Chordata; Actinopteri; Aulopiformes; Synodontidae. The record is from RNAcentral.